CUGGGGGAUCUUGCGCAUGGGCGAAGCCUGAGCAGCGACGCCGCGUGAGGGAUGACGGCCUUCGGGUUGUAAACCUCUUUCAGCUCCGACGAAGCGGAAGUGACGGUAGGAGCAGAAGAAGCACCGGCCAACUACGUGCCAGCAGCCGGGGUAAUACCUAGGGGGCGAGCUUGGCCCGGAAUUAUUGGGCGUAAAGAAGCUCGUAGGCGGUCUGUCGCGUCGGCUGUGAAAACUCGGGGCUCAACUCCGAGCUUGCAGUCGAUACGGGCAGGCUAGUUUUCGGCAGGGGAAACUGGAAUUCCUGGUGUGGCGGUGAAAUGCGCAGAUAUAGGGGGAAACACCGGUGGCGAAAGGCGGGUCUCUGGGCCGAUACUGACGCUGAGGAGCGAAAGCGUGGGGAGCGAACAGGAUUAGAUACCCUGGUAGUCCACGCCGUAAACGUUGGGCGCUAGGUGUGGGAUCCCUUCCACGGGUUCCGUGCCGCAGCUAACGCAUUAAGCGCCCCGCCUGGGGGAGUACGGGC
RNAcentral lists this ribosomal RNA (523 nucleotides) under uncultured bacterium. RNAcentral describes it as "bacterial SSU rRNA". It matches the Rfam family "Bacterial small subunit ribosomal RNA", at positions 354 to 887 of the family's 1533-position model. The record is from RNAcentral.